RNAcentral lists this transfer RNA (78 nucleotides) under Alphaproteobacteria bacterium. RNAcentral's name for it is "tRNA-His". It matches the Rfam family "tRNA". Rfam says of the family: Transfer RNA (tRNA) molecules are approximately 80 nucleotides in length. Their secondary structure includes four short double-helical elements and three loops (D, anti-codon, and T loops). Lineage: Bacteria; Pseudomonadati; Pseudomonadota; Alphaproteobacteria. The record is from RNAcentral.
GCGAGUGUAGCUCAGCUGGUCUAGAGCACCGGAUUGUGGUUCCGGGUGUCGUGGGUUCGAAUCCCAUCACUCGCCCCA